RNAcentral lists this long non-coding RNA (347 nucleotides) under Elaeis guineensis (African oil palm). Its description in RNAcentral is "long non-coding RNA (EGUI_LNC014411)". Lineage: Eukaryota; Viridiplantae; Streptophyta; Magnoliopsida; Arecales; Arecaceae. The record is from RNAcentral.
AUGGUAUAGUGAGGAGAUUGGGGGAGGUCCGAUACAUAUCCGAUUUCAGAUAGAAUAUUAUCUCACUAAGCAGAUUGGAUUUGAGAGGCUACAGGAAGGUAGCUGAUGGAGAAAUCUUGAAGGUGUUGCACGGCUAUAGGGUUAUUCUAUAGGAGAAUAAGAAGAUGAGAGGAUAUCACUAUCUGAUGGUGAGCCCAAUGCAAGGUGGAGCUUCAGGAGCCAGGAGGAGCCCAGAGCGAGGUGGAGCUCUAGGUGGAGGUGGAUCGGACAUGAGAUACAAGAUUCGAGAGGAUGAGAGGCGAUAUCACAGGAUGAGAUUUCUAUUGCUGCAGUAUGAUACCCCAAGC